Molecule: long non-coding RNA, 204 nt
Organism: Sceloporus undulatus (fence lizard)
Lineage: Eukaryota; Metazoa; Chordata; Lepidosauria; Squamata; Phrynosomatidae
Exons: 2
Source: RefSeq, a predicted model, not a curated record
UUCCCAUGAUGGCAAAAACAUGGGAAGUUGUCAGACAUCUGACAGGUCACAGUGUAUGGUUGGUGACUUCAAUCAGGUCCAUUUUAGAGAUGUAACCUCCAGUCUUAGAAGUGAUCUUCAUCUUUAUUUAGCAUGCAGUUCUGAAGCUGGCCAGAGUCCUUUCCAGUCUGCCAGAGGGCAAAUCCAAUAAAAAUUAAAAUAAGA